Long non-coding RNA from Conger conger (European conger), 1242 nucleotides. RefSeq lists it as uncharacterized. NCBI's taxonomy places the organism in Eukaryota, Metazoa, Chordata, Actinopteri, Anguilliformes, Congridae. The record is from RefSeq and is a predicted model, not a curated record. The transcript is spliced from 3 exons.
AAUAUAACUUCAUAAAAGUGGGGCCAGAUCUGGCAGGUGCUUUGCAAGCAUGAUCUUUGGUACCCCCAUUAUUGUCAGGGAAGAACCUCUGUGACCCCACUGUCCUGCUGUUUGAGAGUCCUGAGAUUAAGCCACAAGUCCCCACUAGUCUCCUUGCUUCCAGGGGACCUGGUGCCGGAGGACACGGCAGAGAACUACGAUGAUGUCACCACUGCUGCGGAUGCGCAUCCAGACAGUGUGGCUGGGGACCUGUUGACAGAGGACAUGGCAGAGAACUACGAUGAUGUCAUCACUGCUGCGGAUGCGCAUCCAGACAGUGUGGCAGCUGCCAGUGGGAUGGACUAUGAUGAUGUGGGGGUGGAGCCACCUGAAAUAGGAGGAGCAUUUUGAGAUUUUGUCUGAGGAAGCGUCUGCCCACCUGUUUGGAUCGCACAGCAUACAUGCAACAAGGAAAAUGUUUCACUAUAAAACCACAUCCUCGUAGGUCAAUGAGUAAUUCACCUGAAAUUAUUGACAGUAGGUUCCUAAGCUUGUUCAUAAAUCAGGACAUUGAAAGUGUUGGUACACAUUGGAUAUAACAGCUUGUCUGGUGAUGAUGUGAUUAAAUAUGGGGAAAUUAAUAGCAUUUUUAGGUAUGUAAGAAUGAAAACAAUGAGCUAUAGCCUGUGUGGGCCUUUGCUUUAUAUAUGUGUGUAUUUCCAUCAAACCCUUUCAGUUGUGGCUGUGUUCAUCAUGUGUGGGUCAGAGCUGUCCAUGUCGGCUCUCUGAUUGACACAUGGAUGUGUUAUCAGCCAGACAGCACUGAUCCAGCAUCCCAACUCUCCUUGCUCCUCUGCAAGAUCACAUUUUUAAACUCUCCUUUCUCCUCUGCAUGAUCACAUUUGAUGAAGAUGAUUGUAUUGCACAUAGCUAAUGAGUUUCUUGCACUGGCUGCCUUGUUACUUUUCAAAACUAUGUCAUACUACUGGCAUUACUACUGUUUUGUGUGUGCAUUUACAAAUCUUGUCCAAGUGAUAAAAAUAUUUUCAAUAACAGAAAUAGACAUUUUUACUACCUUUUUAUACCAUAGUUUUAGAUAUUUGGAUUCUAUAUUUCUUGAAGCUUUUGAAUGACAGCAUUUCAUGAAAGUGAAAUAUUUUGUUUUGCUAAAAUGAUCACAAUGUAUUUCUUUGCCUGAGCAAUACUAGUCUUUUAACAGCUGCACCUCAAUAUGAUAUUUUCAAAUAAAGGCUUAUAGACACA